Molecule: ribosomal RNA, 221 nt
Filed under: uncultured bacterium
Lineage: Bacteria
Description: partial 16S ribosomal RNA
Rfam family: Bacterial small subunit ribosomal RNA
Source: RNAcentral
AGUAAUGUCUGGGAAACUGCCUGAUGAGGGGGAUAACUGCUGGAAACGGUAGCUAAUACCGCAUAACGUCGCAAGACCAAAGAGGGGGACCUUCGGGCCUCUUGCCAUCGGAUGUGCCCAGAUGGGAUUAGCUAGUAGGUGGGGUAACGGCUCACCUAGGCGACGAUCCCUAGCUGGUCUGAGAGGAUGACCAGCCACACUGGAGCUGAGACACGGUCCAG